GACGAACGCUGGCGGCGUGCUUAACACAUGCAAGUCGAGCGGUAAGGCCCUUUCGGGGGUACACGAGCGGCGAACGGGUGAGUAACACGUGGGUGACCUGCCCUCAGCUCUGGGAUAAGCCUGGGAAACCGGGUCUAAUACUGGAUAUGACUCCAUGACGCAUGUUGUGGGGCGGAAAGCCUUGUGCGGCUGAGGAUGGGCCCGCGGCCUAUCAGCUUGUUGGUGGGGUGANGGCCUACCAAGGCGACGACGGGUAGCCGGCCUGAGAGGGCGACCGGCCACACUGGGACUGAGACACGGCCCAGACUCCUACGGGAGGCAGCAGUGGGGAAUCUUGCGCAAUGGGCGAAAGCCUGACGCAGCGACGCCGCGUGAGGGAUGACGGCCUCGG
RNAcentral lists this ribosomal RNA (391 nucleotides) under uncultured bacterium. Its description in RNAcentral is "bacterial SSU rRNA". It matches the Rfam family "Bacterial small subunit ribosomal RNA", at positions 28 to 420 of the family's 1533-position model. The record is from RNAcentral.